RNAcentral lists this ribosomal RNA (406 nucleotides) under uncultured bacterium. Its description in RNAcentral is "partial 16S ribosomal RNA". It matches the Rfam family "Bacterial small subunit ribosomal RNA", at positions 30 to 526 of the family's 1533-position model. The record is from RNAcentral.
AUUGAACGCUGGCGGCAGGCCUAACACAUGCAAGUCGAACGAGUGGCGGACGGGUGAGUAAUGUCUGGGAAACUGCCUGAUGGAGGGGGAACACCACUGGAAACGGUCUCUAAUACCGUAUACCAUCAGAUGUGCCCAGAUGGGAUUAGCUAGUUGGUGGGGUAACGGCUCAUCAAGGCCACGAUCCCUAGCUGGUCUGAGAGGAUGACCAGCCACACUGGAACUGAGACACGGUCCAGACUCCUACGGGAGGCAGCAGUGGGGAAUAUUGCACAAUGGGCGCAAGCCUGAUGCAGCCAUGCCGCGUGUAUGAAGAAGGCCUUAGGGUUGUAAAGUACUUUCAGCGGGGAGGCGUUACCCGCAGAAGAAGCACCGGCUAACUCCGUGCCAGCAGCCGCGGUAAUAC